Long non-coding RNA from Hibiscus syriacus, 109 nucleotides. RefSeq lists it as uncharacterized. The record is from RefSeq and is a predicted model, not a curated record. The transcript is spliced from 3 exons. NCBI's taxonomy places the organism in Eukaryota, Viridiplantae, Streptophyta, Magnoliopsida, Malvales, Malvaceae.
ACCACAAAAACGGAUCAAACUUCAACGUUCAAUCCCUAAAUCCGCCUACCCAACUCACCAAAAUUUCUCUGCUUUCGGCUCUCCUAUGCCAAAGGGACCCGCCAUCUCC